Molecule: long non-coding RNA, 265 nt
Filed under: Marmota monax (woodchuck)
Lineage: Eukaryota; Metazoa; Chordata; Mammalia; Rodentia; Sciuridae
Source: RNAcentral
AUAUGUUCCAUAAGUGUGGUGAGCCGCUUCUGCCGUUUCUGCAGACUAUGGUCGCCAUUACAAGAUGAUGCUGGCUCCGCUGUGGUCUGUGACAAACAACUCCUUAUCUGGGAGAGUUGGCACAUGAUUUUUCACCACCCUGUGAGAAAGCUCCACGCGGCAGCUUUGCAUUGGGGCUUGGGAUGCUUUAUUAAGGCUGGGAGGGGCAUCAGAGAGAGAGAAGAAGAAAUAUCAAGGGCCUGAAUAAACUGCUGAAAGAAGAUUC